Molecule: ribosomal RNA, 564 nt
Filed under: uncultured bacterium
Lineage: Bacteria
Description: bacterial SSU rRNA
Rfam family: Bacterial small subunit ribosomal RNA
Source: RNAcentral
ACAGUUUGAUCAUAGGCUCAGGACGAACGCUGACGGUGUGCUUUACACAUGCAAGUCGAACGAGAAAGCCCUUCGGGGUUAGUACAGAUGUGCGAACGGGUGUAGAUAACAUCGUGGGCAAUCUGCCCCUCGCUGGGGGACAACCGGAGGAAACUCCGGCUAAUACCCCAUACGCUUGCGGAACCGCAUGGUUCCGUAAGGAAAGGUAGCUCCGAGCUCAUCCGGCGAGGGAUGAGACCCGCGUGUACAUUAGCGUAGAUUGGUGGUGGUAACGGCCCACCUAAGGCGACUGAUGUAUAGAUUGGUCUGAGAGGAUGAUCAGCCACACUGGGACUGAGACACGGCCAGGACUCCUACGGNGAGCGCAGCAGUCGGGAAUCUUGCGCAAUGGGCGAAAGCCUGACGCAGCGAACACCGUGUGAGCGAUGAAUGGCCUUCGGGUCGUAAAGCUCUGUUAGUUGGGGACGAAGGGCGAGGGGUUAAUAGCCCUGAGACUUGACGGUACCCUUCGAGGAAGCCCCGGCUAACUACGUGCCAGCAGCCGCGGUAAUACGUAGGGGGCGA